Molecule: long non-coding RNA, 1517 nt
Organism: Salvia splendens (bonfire salvia)
Lineage: Eukaryota; Viridiplantae; Streptophyta; Magnoliopsida; Lamiales; Lamiaceae
Exons: 2
Source: RefSeq, a predicted model, not a curated record
UAUUUCUUGCUAAGGGUAUAUUUGUCCGUCCAUAUUAAUUUGAUUUGAAUCGGUUAUGGACAUCCACUAAUUCAGGGAACAUAUUUUUUGUAAAUCAAAUUCUAAAUGAGAAGAGACUCUCUCUCUCCCCACUCUCCAUUCCCCCAUGACGCCGAUUUCGAUGGCUAAAUUCCAAGAAACUACCUCCGGGGAGGUAGUAUCCGCCAUUUGUUCCCACAAAAAAAGAGUUUCCAGAAAGGGGAAAGACGCGAGAGCUUGUCGCGUGUUUACUUAUAGACGCGUCUCCCUCUCGCGUCUCUAAAAUGAAACACGCAUGACGAAUUAGCGUCUCUAAACAUACCCGCAUCAGGCUGAUGCGUGUCUCCCUUGGAACAAAAGCAGGUCAGGCACUGGCAUGAAGGGCCCCAGCGGCACCGACACCGGCGCCGGAGGAUUCAAUUCGAGAGGGAGGUGCGAAGAGAGGGAGAGGGAGAGGGAGAGGCUCUGGGCGGGAUGGUCGAAAACGAGGCUGAUGUCUUGAAUAGCGGGAUCGGCGGCGGCGUUGGCGUAGAUGUGUUGGUGAUGAUGAUUGUUGAAGGUCUGGUUGUUGAAGAUUAGAGAUGGAUCGUAGAGAGGGAUGAAGGUGUCUACUUAUUCGUGGAAUUUAGCCAGAAAAAGAGUGUAACAGUGAAAGAGAUGAGGUGAUGAUGAAAUGAGAGGCUGCCAGUGCCAUCAUGUUAAUCUCUCUCAGUAUAUACGAUUCUCCUCUCUCAUUUUUACUUUGUUUUCCCAAUAAAUUGAAACACGCUGUUGCCUCACGCGUGUAUACAUUGAAACACGUUGUUGCCUCUCGCGUGUUUAAAUUGAAACACGCAUGGGCCUAACGCGUGUUUAAUAUUGAUACACGCGACAAGCUCUCGCGUCUUUCCCCUUUCUGGAAACUCUUUUUUUGCGGGAACAAAUGGCGGAUACUACCUCCCCGGAGGUAGUUUCUUGGAAUUUAGCCCGAUUUCGAUACCAAAGGAAGACGCCAGGGUUGAAGAUUAAAAGCAAUUCUCCCACCGGAUUCUCUGCAAUUUCUCUUGAGGUUUGUAGGGUUUAUAGGAUUUUCACAAUCGCGCCUCCACUACUCUCAUAAAUCCUUAUGUUCUUUCUGUUCCGAUAUAUUUUCGUUCGACAUAUGCGGUUUUUGGUGGGGUUUACAACGACCCCAAUUUUCACUUCGUUGUUGAGGGUUUUAUUGACAUGGGUGGAGCAUAGUUGCAAGUGUUUCUACUCUAGUUUUGCCAUGGAAAGAGUCGGCGGAUUUCUAAUACAAUUUUGUCAUUCAGUUGUCACGAUUUUUAGGACGAUUUCGCCGUCACUAAGGCCUGGUUUAUGGAAAUCGAAGAAUAUGAUGACUUGUUGUGGAUCAAAUUUGUUACAUUUACAUGUGAUGGAUGGAAGUCAAUGUAUUUUUCUAUUUCAAUAAUAUUUCUAUGUAAUGUAAACUCUACAACAAUUAUUUCAUGAUUAAUGCAAUAACAAGUUGUAUAAAA